GAUGAACGCUAGCGGCAGGCCUAAUACAUGCAAGUCAAGGGGAUAGCAAUAUCACCGGCGGACGGGUGCGUAACGCGUACACAACGUGCCCAAGGGCGGAGGAAAGCGGCGGGAAACUGCCGGUAAUACUCCAUGGUGUUGUUGAAUGGCAUCAUUUAACAACUAAAGUACAAGCGCCCUUGGAUCGGUGUGCGUUCGAUUAGCUAGUUGGCGGGGUAACGGCCCACCAAGGCUCCGAUCGAUAGGGGGUGUGAGAGCAUGGCCCCCCACACGGGUACUGAGACACGGACCCGACUCCUACGGGAGGCAGCAGUAAGGAAUAUUGGACAAUGGGCGGAAGCCUGAUCCAGCCAUGCCGCGUGAAGGACGAAGGCGCUCAGCGUUGUAAACUUCUUUUGGAUGGGAACAAUAACCGAGACUUGUCUUGGCUUGAGGGUACCAUCAGAAUAAGCACCGGCUAACUCCGUG
RNAcentral lists this ribosomal RNA (468 nucleotides) under uncultured bacterium. RNAcentral's name for it is "bacterial SSU rRNA". It matches the Rfam family "Bacterial small subunit ribosomal RNA", at positions 28 to 507 of the family's 1533-position model. The record is from RNAcentral.